UCCUAUUCUAACCCAUAGCAGUACCACAAAGCCUCUAACCAAAAGAGUAAUAAAAUCUAGUCGGGACAUGCCCCCAACCAUGGCCAAAAAUAAUAUCCAAAAAUAAAUAAAAAUGUCUAAGAAUAUCUAUGACAUGAAAUAGAGCCUUUCAAAAAGAUGAAAGCUCACCACUUUAAUCAAAAUGUUAUUCCCGAGUUAAUCACUAUAUAGGAGGAGUAGAACGGCC
This 226-nucleotide long non-coding RNA is filed under the name Capsicum annuum. Its description in RNAcentral is "long non-coding RNA (CANN_LNC020141)". The record is from RNAcentral. Lineage: Eukaryota; Viridiplantae; Streptophyta; Magnoliopsida; Solanales; Solanaceae.